RNAcentral lists this ribosomal RNA (346 nucleotides) under uncultured bacterium. Its description in RNAcentral is "bacterial SSU rRNA". It matches the Rfam family "Bacterial small subunit ribosomal RNA", at positions 9 to 350 of the family's 1533-position model. The record is from RNAcentral.
GAGUUUGAAUCAUGGCUCAGGAUGAACGCUAGCUACAGGCUUAACACAUGCAAGUCGAGGGGCAGCAUGUUGGUUGCUUGCAACCAAUGAUGGCGACCGGCGCACGGGUGAGUAACGCGUAUCCAACCUACCCUUGUCCAUCGGAUAACCCGUCGAAAGGCGGCCUAACACGAUAUGCGGUUCACAGCAGGCAUCUAAGGUGAACGAAAUGUGAAGGAGAAGGAUGGGGAUGCGUCUGAUUAGCUUGUUGGCGGGGUAACGGCCACAAGGCGACGAUCAGUAGGGGUUCUGAGAGGAAGGUCCCCCANAUUGGAACUGAGACACGGUCCAAACUCCUACGGAGGCA